CUACGGGGGGCUGCAGCGAGGAAUAUUGCACAAUGGGGGGGACCCUGAUGCAGCAACGCCGCGUGGAGGAUGACGCAUUUCGGUGUGUAAACUCCUUUUAUAUGUCAAGAAAAUGACGGUAGCAUAUGAAUAAGCACCGGCUAACUCCGUGCCAGCAGCCGCGGUAAUACGGAGGGUGCAAGCGUUACUCGGAAUCACUGGGCGUAAAGGACGCGUAGGCGGGUUGGAAAGUCAGGUGUGAAAUCCUACAGCUUAACUGUAGAACUGCACUUGAAACUUCUAAUCUAGAGUAUGGGAGGGGGAGAUGGAAUUAGUGGUGUAGGGGUAAAAUCCGUAGAUAUCACUAGGAAUACCUAAAGCGAAGGCGAUCUCCUGGAACAUUACUGACGCUAAGGCGUGAAAGCGUGGGGAGCAAACAGGAUUAGAUACCCGAGUAGUC
RNAcentral lists this ribosomal RNA (439 nucleotides) under uncultured bacterium. Its description in RNAcentral is "partial 16S ribosomal RNA". It matches the Rfam family "Bacterial small subunit ribosomal RNA", at positions 339 to 795 of the family's 1533-position model. The record is from RNAcentral.